CAUAACCUGUUUAAUAGAGGAUUCUUUGCUGGGUUUUUAUGACUUAUUUCUAGGCUAAACCAAGCUCAAAUUUCUGCUUUUGAAUUAACCCUUACGUUUGGCUAUCUUUGGCAUUAUCUUAAACCAUUUAAAAAAAAAAUUAUUGGUACUCUUCUUUGUUUGUUUGUUUUCUUCUAGUUCAUGUAGUGGGGUUUGCACCGGGUCCC
This 206-nucleotide unclassified non-coding RNA is filed under the name Hevea brasiliensis (rubber tree). Lineage: Eukaryota; Viridiplantae; Streptophyta; Magnoliopsida; Malpighiales; Euphorbiaceae. The record is from RNAcentral.